AGGACGAACGCUGGCGGCGUGCUUAACACAUGCAAGUCGAGCGGAAAGGCCCUUCGGGGUACUCGAGCGGCGAACGGGUGAGUAACACGUGGGUAACCUGCCCCUUGCUCUGGGAUAACUCCGGGAAACCGGGGCUAAUACCGGAUAUGACACCCGCAGGCAUCUGCUGGGUGUGGAAAGUUUUUCGGCGAGGGAUGGGCCCGCGGCCUAUCAGCUUGUUGGUGGGGUGAUGGCCUACCAAGGCAGUGACGGGUA
RNAcentral lists this ribosomal RNA (255 nucleotides) under uncultured bacterium. RNAcentral describes it as "partial small subunit ribosomal RNA". It matches the Rfam family "Bacterial small subunit ribosomal RNA", at positions 26 to 285 of the family's 1533-position model. The record is from RNAcentral.